Molecule: ribosomal RNA, 560 nt
Filed under: Shigella sonnei
Lineage: Bacteria; Pseudomonadati; Pseudomonadota; Gammaproteobacteria; Enterobacterales; Enterobacteriaceae
Description: partial 23S ribosomal RNA
Rfam family: Bacterial large subunit ribosomal RNA
Source: RNAcentral
GGAGCGUUCUGUAAGCCUGCGAAGGUGUGCUGUGAGGCAUGCUGGAGGUAUCAGAAGUGCGAAUGCUGACAUAAGUAACGAUAAAGCGGGUGAAAAGCCCGCUCGCCGGAAGACCAAGGGUUCCUGUCCAACGUUAAUCGGGGCAGGGUGAGUCGACCCCUAAGGCGAGGCCGAAAGGCGUAGUCGAUGGGAAACAGGUUAAUAUUCCUGUACUUGGUGUUACUGCGAAGGGGGGACGGAGAAGGCUAUGUUGGCCGGGCGACGGUUGUCCCGGUUUAAGCGUGUAGGCUGGUUUUCCAGGCAAAUCCGGAAAAUCAAGGCUGAGGCGUGAUGACGAGGCACUACGGUGCUGAAGCAACAAAUGCCCUGCUUCCAGGAAAAGCCUCUAAGCAUCAGGUAACAUCAAAUCGUACCCCAAACCGACACAGGUGGUCAGGUAGAGAAUACCAAGGCGCUUGAGAGAACUCGGGUGAAGGAACUAGGCAAAAUGGUGCCGUAACUUCGGGAGAAGGCACGCUGAUAUGUAGGUGAAGUCCCUUGCGGAUGGAGCUGAAAUCAGU